RNAcentral lists this transfer RNA (91 nucleotides) under Armatimonadota bacterium. Its description in RNAcentral is "Armatimonadetes bacterium (groundwater metagenome) tRNA-OTHER". Lineage: Bacteria; Bacillati; Armatimonadota. The record is from RNAcentral.
GCCGCUGUUCGCGGAAUUGGAUCGCCGCGCCGUAUCUUACGACAGGAUCGACCUGAGCGAGCACCGGUUCGAUCCCGCGUCGGCGGCGCCA